This 1178-nucleotide ribosomal RNA is filed under the name Chitinophagaceae bacterium. RNAcentral's name for it is "partial 23S ribosomal RNA". It matches the Rfam family "Bacterial large subunit ribosomal RNA", at positions 532 to 1700 of the family's 2925-position model. The record is from RNAcentral. Lineage: Bacteria; Pseudomonadati; Bacteroidota; Chitinophagia; Chitinophagales; Chitinophagaceae.
AAGGGAGUGAAAUAGUACCUGAAACCGUACGCCUACAAGCGGUCGGAGCCAGCAAUGGUGACGGCGUGCCUUUUGCAUAAUGAGCCUACGAGUUACUCCUCACUGGCGAGGUUAAGUUCUUAAGUAACGGAGCCGUAGCGAAAGCAAGUCCAAAUAGGGCGACUAGUCAGUGGGGGUAGACGCGAAACUUUGUGAUCUAUCCAUGGGCAGGUUGAAGUGUUGGUAACACAACAUGGAGGACCGAACCCAUGAGCGUUGAAAAGCUCUGGGAUGACCUGUGGAUAGGGGUGAAAGGCCAAUCAAACUGAGAGAUAGCUCGUUCUCCCCGAAAUGUUUUUAGGAACAGCGUCGCAUAUUAGAAGUUUAUGAGAGGUAGAGCUACUGAUUGGGCUAGGGGGCUUCACCGCCUACCAAACCCUGACAAACUCCGAAUGCUCAUAAAUAUCUGCGGCAGUGAGGCUGUGGGCGAUAAGGUCCAUGGCCGAGAGGGAAAUAACCCAGAUUAGCAACUAAGGUCCCUAAUACAUGGUUAAGUUGAUCAAACGAGGUGGGAUUUCUAUGACAGCCAGGAUGUUGGCUUGGAAGCAGCCACUCAUUUAAAGAGUGCGUAACAGCUCACUGGUCGAGAGAUCCUGCACGGAAAAUAAUCGGGCAUCAAACCAUGAACCGAAGUUCUAAGAUUGCUACUACGUAGUAUAUCGGUAGGGGAGCAUUGAAAUCUGCGCUGAAGGUGUGUGGCGAUGCAUGCUGGAGCGAUUUCAAAAGAAAAUGUAGGCAUAAGUAACGAUAAUUGAAGUGAAAAACUUCAACGCCGUAAACCCAAGGUUUCCUGAUCAAUGUUAAUCAGAUCAGGGUUAGUCGGGUCCUUAGGCGAACCCGAAAGGGGUAGCUGAUGGCAAGUUGGUUAAUAUUCCAACACCUGCUUUAGAUUCGAUGGGGUGACGGGGUAGUGAAAGAUCCGCCUGGUGACGGAAUACCAGGUUAAAGGGUGUAGUUAUAUUUUUUGUAGGUAAAUCCGCAGAGAAUGGCGAACCUGAUAGUACAGCAAAGCUUCGGCCUAGCUGAUAGUGAUCCUAAUCAGACCUCCGAGAAAAACCUCUAAGUUAUGUUUAAAGCAGCCCGUACCGCAAACCGACACAGGUGGGUGGGAUGAGUAUUCUAAGGCGCUCGGGUGAGCC